RNAcentral lists this ribosomal RNA (497 nucleotides) under uncultured bacterium. RNAcentral's name for it is "partial 16S ribosomal RNA". It matches the Rfam family "Bacterial small subunit ribosomal RNA", at positions 28 to 507 of the family's 1533-position model. The record is from RNAcentral.
GAUGAACGCUGGCGGCGUGCCUAAUACAUGCAAGUCGAGCGAACAGACGAGUAGCUUGCUCCUCUGACGUUAGCGGCGGACGGGUGAGUAACACGUGGAUAACCUACCUAUAAGACUGGGACAACUUCGGGAAACUGGUGCUAAAACCGGAUAGUAUAUGGAACCGCUUGGUUCAAUAAUGAUAGACGGUUUUGCUUUUACUUGUGGAUUGAUCCGCGCCGCAUUAGCUAGUGGGUAAGGUAACGGCUGACCAAGGCACCGAUUCGUAGCCGACCUGAGAGGGUGAUCGGCCACACUGGGACUGAGACACGGUCCAGACUCCUACGGGAGGCAGCAGUAGGGAAUCUUCGGCGAUGGGCGGAAGCCUGACGGAGCAACGCCGCGUGAGUGAUGAAGGUCUUCGGAUCGUAAAACUCUGUUAUUAGGGAAGAACAACUGUGUAAGUAACUCUGCACGUCUUGACGGUACCUAAAGAAAAAGCACCGGCUAACUACGUG